Molecule: non-coding RNA, 1913 nt
Organism: Pelodiscus sinensis (Chinese soft-shelled turtle)
Lineage: Eukaryota; Metazoa; Chordata; Testudines; Trionychidae
Source: RefSeq, a predicted model, not a curated record
CUAGCGCUCACAAGUGCUGUUCCUCAGGGCGGAGGGCUGAGUACUUGCCUCCCCAGCCCGGCGGAGAGCGGUCCCUCCCUCGCGCGGAGCAAGGGGCUGCACGCUCCCUCGGAUCUCCCCGGGCACCCGCCCCUUUGCGCACCACACGUGUAUCGAGAACCCUGGAUGCACACGAGGAAUGAGGCCGAGUCUGUUUCCAAUGCAAGGGACCCAAAGGGAAGAGAAUCUGGUGCUAGGUGUGAAUGUCGGUGCUCAGCUCUGCACCCUGUGAUCGUGUUACUGCACGUUCCCUUUCCCUGAGUGUUAAGGCUGGUGCAGCAUUUCCCGUGGAAGGAAGUGUGCCAGCGGAAAUGACAGCAGUCCACCACAUGCAGAGCCAUUUCCUGGUCGCGAUGUCUUCAGCUCCAGCCAACAUGGCUUAAGCGAGUGAGGGAGAGGGUUCAGUCACAGAAGAUCCCUUGGGGGUGCUUCCCGGUGUGCUGACAAAACCACUAACAAUCGCCUCUUUGAUCUCGGGGGCUUCUAACGACUCUGUCCUGCUGGGCCAGAGCCCCUGGUUUCCUCCAGCUAAGGCACAGAGCUGAAAUCACCACCCCCUCUGAGGAGCAAUAUAGACUCUGAAACUCUUCAAGUCUGAGGAAAAUGCAGUUUUGGGCCCAGCUUCCAGGGAAACCACUCACGAAUUGGGAUCAGAAUCCCCUAAUAAAUUAUUCAGUUUAUCAAUAUCCAGCUUGAAGUGUGGAUACCAGAACUGGACACAAUAUUCCAGUGGCAAUUGCACCAUCAUCAGGUACAGAGAGUCAAGUCCAUCUGGUAUUACAAAGACUUGUCUUGGGAGGAUAAUGCUAGAUUUGAGAAAUUGAUCCACUCUAGUCCAGUACCAAACAAAAGAAUUUGCUGAACCAUGGGAGGAUACAUGGCACAUGUCUCAGUGGAGUUAGAGCAGUGGAUUUCCAACCUUUUUACCACAAGAUCACUUUCAAUGUAAGUGCAAUGUAAGAUCUACCUCAAACCCAAAUACCCUUGCCCAGAUUCCAUCCCACCCCAUCUCUAAGGCCCCGCCCUCACUACACCCCUUCUCUAAGGCCUCACCCUGCUCACUCCAUCCCCCUUCUGCCCUGAAUCUCAUUCACUUUCACCAGGAUGGGGUAGAGGGUUGGGGUGCAGGGUCUGGUCUUUGGCCAAGGGGUUCAGAGUGUGGAACGAGACACCCUGAAGUUAGGGUGCUGGAGUCGGCGCUGGAGUGGCCUAGGGCAUAGGGCAUUUACCUGGGACUGGGGGGGUCAAGUCCUGUCCACCCAGGAAGUAGCAGAACAGCCAACACCAGCUGUUCCAGCAAUAGAGCUGGGUCCCUCAUUAGGAAAGCAGGAUAAGAGACUCUGUGAAGGAAGGUGAGGUGGGUGUUGGUGUGGCUUUGGGGAUAGCGAGCUCAACUGGGGAGUGCAGGGUGGUGGGUUCAAGACCCAUCCCUGCCUUUACACCAUCCUUUGAGUGUCCAGGCAGCCAACACAGGGAUAAGGGAUCCUCUGAAGGUAGGGAGGCCACGUGGGUUUUUGAGGCAACUAGGGGAAAGGGCAUUUGCCUGGGGGAGGGCAGCCAACACAAGUUGCUCCCAGGCAUGGAGCAAGAUCCUUUGUUAGGAAGGCAGGAUAAGGGUCCCUCUGAAGGUUAGGAGAUGAGGUGGGUUCUGGAGUGGCUUAAGGGAUACAGCAUUGGCUGAAGAGCAUAGGGUCGAGGGCUUGAGCCCAGUCUCCCCUUGACAUCCAAGGUCCUAUCUCCCACCCACCCUGCACGUGACCAGACAGCCAUAACAGGAUAAGGGACCUUCUGAAGGUAGGGUGAUGGUGUGGCUUAGGGGAAAGGGAACUUGUUUGGGGAGCACAGGGUGGUGAGCAGACAUGUGGACAAGGGGG